GACGGGGACCCGCACAAGCGGUGGAGCAUGUGGUUUAAUUCGACGAUACGCGAAGAACCUUACCUGGCCUUGACAUACUAAAAAGCUUUAAGAGAUUAGAGUGUGCUAGCUUGCUAGAAUUUAGAUACAGGUGCUGCACGGCUGUCGUCAGCUCGUGUCGUGAGAUGUUGGGUUAAGUCCCGCAACGAGCGCAACCCUCGUGUUUAGUUGCUAACAGUUCGGCUGAGAACUCUAAACAGACUGCCUACGCAAGUAGGAGGAAGGUGAGGACGACGUCAAGUCAUCAUGGCCCUUACGGCCAGGGCUACACACGUGCUACAAUGGGGUAUACAAAGAGCAGCGAUACGGUGACGUGGAGCAAAUCUAGAAAAUGCCUCUCAGUUCGGAUUGUAGUCUGCAACUCGACUACAUGAAGUUGGAAUCGCUAGUAAUCGUAGAUCAGCAAUGCUACGGUGAAUACGUUCCCGGGUCUU
This 473-nucleotide ribosomal RNA is filed under the name uncultured Arcobacter sp. Its description in RNAcentral is "bacterial SSU rRNA". It matches the Rfam family "Bacterial small subunit ribosomal RNA", at positions 912 to 1382 of the family's 1533-position model. The record is from RNAcentral. Lineage: Bacteria; Pseudomonadati; Campylobacterota; Epsilonproteobacteria; Campylobacterales; Arcobacteraceae.